GAGCUUGCUUUUCUUAACUUAGUGGCGAGCGGGUGAGUAACGCGUGAGUAACCUGCCCUGGAGUGGGGGACAACAGUUGGAAACGACUGCUAAUACCGCAUAAGCCCACGGCCCGGCAUCGGGCUGAGGGAAAAGGAUUUAUUCGCUUCAGGAUGGACUCGCGUCCAAUUAGCUAGUUGGUGAGGUAACGGCCCACCAAGGCGACGAUUGGUAGCCGGACUGAGAGGUUGAACGGCCACAUUGGGACUGAGACACGGCCCAGACUCCUACGGGAGGCAGCAGUGGGGGAUAUUGCACAAUGGGGGAAACCCUGAUGCAGCGACGCCGCGUGGAGGAAGAAGGUUUUCGGAUUGUAAACUCCUGUCGUUAGGGACGAUAAUGACGGUACCUAACAAGAAAGCACCGGCUAACUACGUGCCAGCAGCCGCGGUAAAACGUAGGGUGCAAGCGUUGUCCGGAAUUACUGGGUGUAAAGGGAGCGCAGGCGGACCGGCAAGUUGGAAGUGAAAACUAUGGGCUCAACCCAUAAAUUGCUUUCAAAACUGCUGGCCUUGAGUAGUGCAGAGGUAGGUGGAAUUCCCGGUGUAGCGGUGGAAUGCGUAGAUAUCGGGAGGAACACCAGUGGCGAAAGCGACCUACUGGGCACCAACUGACGCUGAGGCUCGAAAGCAUGGGUAGCAAACAGGAUUAGAUACCCUGGUAGUCCAUG
Molecule: ribosomal RNA, 709 nt
Filed under: uncultured bacterium
Lineage: Bacteria
Description: bacterial SSU rRNA
Rfam family: Bacterial small subunit ribosomal RNA
Source: RNAcentral